RNA transcript from Sapajus apella (tufted capuchin), 1296 nucleotides. It is a transcript of the gene named T-complex protein 1 subunit alpha pseudogene, with no coding region annotated. NCBI's taxonomy places the organism in Eukaryota, Metazoa, Chordata, Mammalia, Primates, Cebidae. The transcript is spliced from 2 exons. The record is from RefSeq and is a predicted model, not a curated record.
GGUCCCGAUAACUCGGGCAGCACCCUCGUUGCGUUGCUCGUAGCUGUCCACAAUGGAGGCCAAAAUGACUGGGUGCAGCCUGACCACGCGGCCAUCGGGAAAGGGCCCUGGGAGAGCGGGACCAGGCAGAGCGAGCACUGGGAAGUGGUCCAAGAGAGAAUUUGUGAUGAUGAGCUGAUCUUAAUCAAAAACACUAAGACUCGUACAUCCGCAUUGAUUAUCUUACGUGGGGCAAAUGAUUUCAUGUGUGAUGAGAUGGAGCGCUAUUUACAUGAUGCCCUUUGAAGUGAAGAGAGUUUUGUAGUCAAAAUCUGUGGUUCCAGGUGGGGGUGCUGUAGAAGCAACCCUGUCUGUAUACCUUGAAAACUAUGCAGCCAGCAUGGGGUCUCGGGAACAGCUUACUAUUGCAGAGUUUGCCAGAUCACUUCUUGUUAUUCCUAAUACACUGGCAGUUAAUGCUGCCUAGGACUCCACAGAUCUGGUUGCAAAAUUAAGAGCCUUUCACAAUGAGGCUCAGCUUAACCCAGAACGUAAAAACCUAAAAUGGAUUGGUCUUGAUUUGAGCAAUGGUAAACCUCAAGACAACAAACAAGCAGCAGGGGUGUUUGAACCAACCAUAGUUAAAGUUAAGAGUUUGAAAUUUGCAACAGAAGCUGCAAUUACCAUUCUUCGAAUUGAUGAUCUUAUUAAAUUACAUCCAGAAAGUAAAGAUGAUAAACAUGGAAGUUAUGAAGAUGCUGUUCACUCUGGAGCCCUUAAUAAUUGAUCUCCUUGUUUCUUUAUUUAUAACAAUGUUAAAUGCAGUCGUCUUGUAGCUUGAGUAUCCAUUAAAAUACACCAAGCUGUAAACUUGGGUUUUUGUGAUGUAGGAAAUGGUUUCCAUCUGUGCUUUGGUCCUCUGAUUUCACAUAUUAUAACCCUAGUACUUUAUUAGUUUAAAAAGAAAUUGAGGUGGUUCAAAGUUCAUGCCCUCUGAACACACAUUGCUAUUCCCAUCCCACCGCCAAUGCACAGGGCCGCAACACCACGACUUCUGCCCGUUCUCUCCAGCGCGUGUAACAGGGUCACAAGAAUUCGACAGCCAGAUGCUCCAAGAGGGUGGCCCAAGGCUACAGCCCCUCCUUGAAUGUUGACCUAAGGGGGAGAAGAGACUUAGAUUGUUUAUUCUUCUGUGGACAUAGUUUAAAAUCCUAAACUUGUCCUUUUCCUCUUAAUGUUGUAUUAGCAUGCUACACUUUCAAACUCAGAUUUCCAUUUUAACUGCUUAGGAAUAAAUUCACACCCUUGUGAAAAUUC